GGCUGGUCCAAGUGCACUAGUGUUUACAACUAAUUGAUCACAACUAGUUGCAUAUUUCUUUGUUCCUUCUCCAGUCUCACCACUUAACUUGCUUUAA
RNAcentral lists this non-coding RNA (97 nucleotides) under Otolemur garnettii (small-eared galago). Lineage: Eukaryota; Metazoa; Chordata; Mammalia; Primates; Galagidae. The record is from RNAcentral.